ACCAUCCUUUCCUUGGGGUCGCACUGCUGUCUAAUGAGUGCAUAGCAAGGGUAGUACUGCUAAUGCGUAUACAUCGCACCUGCGUCAACUGGAACUUUGCUUUACCUUGGUACAGUUUUUGGAAAA
Cebus imitator (Panamanian white-faced capuchin) is the source of this 126-nucleotide small nuclear RNA. Lineage: Eukaryota; Metazoa; Chordata; Mammalia; Primates; Cebidae. The record is from Ensembl.